Molecule: ribosomal RNA, 253 nt
Filed under: uncultured bacterium
Lineage: Bacteria
Description: partial 16S ribosomal RNA
Rfam family: Bacterial small subunit ribosomal RNA
Source: RNAcentral
UACGGAGGGUGCAAGCAUUAAUCGGAUUUAUUGGGCGUAAAGGGCGCGUAGGCGGAGAUAUUAGUCAGAUGUGAAAUCCUGGGGCUCAACCUCAGAACUGCAUUUGAAACUGUAUCUCUAGAGGGUAGGCGGAGAAAACGGAAUUCCACAAGUAGCGGUGAAAUGCGUAGAUAUGUGGAAGAACACCGGUGGCGAAGGCGGUUUUCUAGCUUAUUCCUGACGCUGAGGCGCGAAAGCGUGGGGAGCAAACAGG